UUGCCCGAAACACCAGCAGUGGCAGAUGUCCUUUGAAAUUCAGCAAUUAUUUUUUGAGUAAAAUUGAUGUUUUUUUCAAUGGCGUAGAAUCAACAUGGAGCUUGGCUGCUUCGGGCCGCCGCGCCGGUGCGUUAGCUGCAGAUUGAACAAAGCCGGUGUCAGGUAUUUCCGCGUCAAAAUCGGUUUUACGGUGGUUUCCGCGCGUGAAAAGCUCCCGAAACGAUUCGUAACAAUUUCCCGUGAAAUCUGGUGUAAUUUCUUCGAGUUAGUUUGAUGAGUAUACCAGUGUUAACCAUCACGGAUGAUGAAUAAUGGCUCUGACCUGUCACGGCCCAGAGUAGACUCUCACCUCAAGAUUCCGUCUUCCAACGGUGGACUACACGGUUCCAUUCCCCCACACAUAAUGAAUCCUCAGUAUAUGAAUGUUCAGAAAGCCCCUGACUCCAUGUCUAAAGGACUCUCAGAGUCUUUGGCUGGAGGGCUGUUAUCUGACCUGGAAGCUGCAUCAGAAUUCUCACAGCAGAGCAUGGUAGGCUCGCAGUACUACGAUGAUGACAUUCUCUCGCAAGGACUCACAGAUGACGACCGUCGACUGGCAGCAGCGCUGGUUGCUGUCCAACUCAGCAAAACUAACAACCAGGCAAAUCCCUCUCAAGCCGAUCAACAACAAGCGCAACAGCAACAAGCAUCAUCGAUGCAGCAACAGCAAAUGUUGUCCAAUGAUCUUCUUAACUCUAAGCAGCUGACAGCGAUGGCUCCUAUUGACAAGCCGCCAAUGUCUAGUAUGGUUCCUAAUUACAUGCAAAGUGUAGAUGACGCAGUUUUCCAAGAACAGUUAAACAACAUAGUCCCACCGCAAACCACAACUCUUCAGACAGCGCCUCAGACUUCAGCGUCUAAUGUGUCAGGAGUUAAGGCUGAAGUUAAAGAAGAAUAUUUCUCCCAAGUCAAAGCCGAGAAAUCGAAUGAUGAUGGUAAAGAUGACUUGGGCGACGAUAUGGGUAACGACAGCAAUGCAAAUGAGUCAAACACAUCAAGCAAUAACGACACGGACGCAAACACAACUGGACUGACUGAAGAUGGAGAUAUUGAUGGAAAGACAUCUGACGAAGAUGAGGACGGGGAUGGAAAUGAAGAAGAAGACGAGGAUGACGAUGAAGAAGAGGAAGAUUCGGACUUCGAUGGUGAAUCCAAGCAAUCACGGAAAAGCCUACCGCACAAAAAGCGUAUCCCCAAAAAAUUGAAGAGAGGAAAUACCGCUCCUAAAAGCCCCAAUAGUAAAGACAAGUCAGGCAAAAAAGACAAGUCAAAGAAAAAAGACCAAGGCUUGUCCUUAAAAUGCGAGCUCUGUACGAAAACAUUCACUCAUCAGCUGAAGUUCUUUGAACAUUUGAAAUCUCAUUACGAGCCCCUCAUCACAAUCAGCACACCUGGAACCAGUGGCAAAUCUGAAGCUGUUUCCUCUACCUCUUUGGACGAUUCCAACAACAUCACCCAGACUGAUUUCACAUCUGCUUUGGAGCUUGGCAACACAAGUGAAUCUGAAAGCCAAGUUAAAACUGAAUCCAAUGCUCCCACAUUGUCGUGUGACCAUUGCGGCAAGACUUUCCGCCGCCCGAAAGCGCUGGAGACGCACAUUGCCAUGAAUCAUGGUAAACACAAUGACAUGGAUGACUUUAGUGAGCCUGAAGACAUGAUGGAAGGUAUCAGAGAUGUUGUCGGCAUGGCAUCUGGAACUAGCGAAGGAAAGAAGAAGGAGAAACCGAAGAAGAAACGUGGAAGGCCAAGGAAAGCGGAAGUUGCUGCCAGGGAGGCUGCUAAAGCUAGAGCCAUAGCAGACGGCACUUGGCAACCCCCGCCAGAACCCGGUACCCGGAAGAGGGGAAGACCGAAGAAAACAUGGAAAGAAGCGGAUUUAGCUAGCAAAGUUUUGGCUUGCACCCUUUGCCCCGAGUAUUCACACAUCGAAACUCUCUCAUGUACCAUGUUCGUUCACAUUCCGGUCUGAGACCGCAUCAGUGUGAAGUCUGCGGUAAACGUUUCUUCGCUACAAGCGCUUAAAA
Molecule: long non-coding RNA, 2063 nt
Filed under: Bemisia tabaci
Lineage: Eukaryota; Metazoa; Arthropoda; Insecta; Hemiptera; Aleyrodidae
Description: lncRNA ENSSSA1NGG009452
Source: RNAcentral